Molecule: ribosomal RNA, 391 nt
Filed under: uncultured bacterium
Lineage: Bacteria
Description: bacterial SSU rRNA
Rfam family: Bacterial small subunit ribosomal RNA
Source: RNAcentral
GACUAACGCUGGCGGCGCGCCUAACACAUGCAAGUCGCACGAGAAACUUCGUAGCAAUACGGGGCGGUAAAGUGGCGAACGGGUGAGUAAUGCAUGGGUGACCUGUCCUCAAGAUGGGAAUAACCUCGCGAAAGCGGGGCUAAUACCCAAUGCCAUUCCGGUCUCACGGGAUCUGGAUGAAAGAUAGCCGUUACAGGCUGUUACUUGAGGAAGGGCCCAUGUCCCAUCAGCUAGUUGGUAGGUACGGCCUACCAAGGCUACGACGGUAGCUGGUCUGAGAGGACGACCAGCCACACUGGCACUGAGACACGGGCCAGACUCCUACGGGAGGCAGCAGUGAGGAAUCUUGCGCAAUGGACGAAAGUCUGACGCAGCGACGCCGCGUGGGGGA